CCUACGGGUGGCAGCAGUGGGGAAUAUUGCGCAAUGGGCGAAAGCCUGACGCAGUGACGCCGCGUGAGGGAUGAAGGUCUUCUGAACGUAAACCUCUGUCAGCAGGGAAGAACGGUCCCUGUGCUAAUCAGCCGUGCAUUGACGUUACCUGCAAAGGAAGCACCGGCUCACUCCGUGCCCGCAGCCGCGGUAAUACGGCGGGGGCGAGCGUUAAUCGGAAUUACUGGGCGUAAAGCGCUCGUAGGCGGUAUGUCAAGUCACGGGUGAAAUCCCCGCGCUCAACGUGGGAACUGCCUUUGAAACUGGGAAGCUGGAGUGUGUGAGAGGAUAGUGGAAUUCCAGGUGUAGGAGUGAAAUGCGUAGAUAUCUGGAGGAACAUCAGUGGCGAAGGCGACUAGCUGGAACAUAACUGACGCUGAGGAGCGAAAGCGUGGGUAGCAAACAGGAUUAGAUACCCCUGUAGUC
RNAcentral lists this ribosomal RNA (465 nucleotides) under uncultured bacterium. RNAcentral's name for it is "partial 16S ribosomal RNA". It matches the Rfam family "Bacterial small subunit ribosomal RNA", at positions 338 to 795 of the family's 1533-position model. The record is from RNAcentral.